UGGGUUGUGGCUCAGUGGUAGAGCACUUGCCUAGCAUGUAUGAGGCACUGGGUUCGAUUCUCAGCGCCACAU
This 72-nucleotide transfer RNA is filed under the name Marmota monax (woodchuck). It matches the Rfam family "tRNA". Rfam says of the family: Transfer RNA (tRNA) molecules are approximately 80 nucleotides in length. Their secondary structure includes four short double-helical elements and three loops (D, anti-codon, and T loops). Lineage: Eukaryota; Metazoa; Chordata; Mammalia; Rodentia; Sciuridae. The record is from Rfam by way of RNAcentral.